This 253-nucleotide ribosomal RNA is filed under the name uncultured bacterium. RNAcentral describes it as "partial 16S ribosomal RNA". It matches the Rfam family "Bacterial small subunit ribosomal RNA", at positions 524 to 776 of the family's 1533-position model. The record is from RNAcentral.
UACGUAGGCAGCAAGCGUUGUUCGGAGUUACUGGGCGUAAAGGGUGCGUAGGCGGCUUUUUAAGUUUGGUGUGAAAUCUCCCGGCUCAACUGGGAGGGUGCGCCGAAUACUGAGAGGCUAGAGUGUGGGAGAGGAAAGUGGAAUUCCUGGUGUAGCGGUGAAAUGCGUAGAGAUCAGCAGGAACACCCGUGGCGAAGGCGGCCACCUGGGCCUAACCUGACGCUGAGGCGCGAAGGCUAGGGGAGCGAACGGG